UCACUCUAGCGAGACUGCCGGUAAUAAACCGGAGGAAGGUGGGGAUGACGUCAAAUCAUCAUGCCCCUUAUGACCUGGGCUACACACGUGCUACAAUGGUUGGUACAACGAGUUGCGAGUCGGUGACGGCGAGCUAAUCUCUUAAAGCCAAUCUCAGUUCGGAUUGUAGGCUGCAACUCGCCUACAUGAAGUCGGAAUCGCUAGUAAUCGCGGAUCAGCACGCCGCGGUGAAUACGUUCCCGGGCCUUGUACACACCGCCCGUCACACCACGAGAGUUUGUAACACCCGAAGUCGGUGAGGUAACCUUUUGGAGCCAGCCGCCUAAGGUGGGACAGAUGAUUGGGGUGAAGUCGUAACAAGGGUAACCGUUAG
This 373-nucleotide ribosomal RNA is filed under the name uncultured bacterium. Its description in RNAcentral is "bacterial SSU rRNA". It matches the Rfam family "Bacterial small subunit ribosomal RNA", at positions 1135 to 1506 of the family's 1533-position model. The record is from RNAcentral.